RNAcentral lists this long non-coding RNA (1224 nucleotides) under Eptatretus burgeri (inshore hagfish). RNAcentral's name for it is "lncRNA (ENSEBUG00000017502.1)". Lineage: Eukaryota; Metazoa; Chordata; Myxini; Myxiniformes; Myxinidae. The record is from RNAcentral.
CACGUGGUCUGUCUAUUGGCGAGUUCGGUCCAAAAAGGGACCCGUACUUUUCUGAAGAAGUGCGAUCUAAAUUCCGGGUGAUCGGUCAAGCCGACUCCACUGCUCCGUCUGGUGGUCGUGCUCGCAGCCGACGUCCGGCCCCACAACAAUAUCUCUCUCUUCAUGAACACAAUGUUUCAGCCGCACAGGUCGAGAUUCUUAAUCAAUGGUUGAUUGUUAAUGAACGAUUCAACGACAUUACCCCCAAAAAUGUACUUUCAGAGGAACUCAAAUACGAUGCGAGGAAUAACGGCAUGAGGAAGAGCGACAGAAGGAUGAUGAGCGAGGAGGAAGAACUACAAAACGACAUCGAGAGCUACCAACAAGCUCACGAGAUCAUAAUCGGACUCGCAGCCACUACCGACCCUGAGGCCCCCAGACCAUGGAUAACUCCAUUGCCCUACUGGUUGUUAAGCAACCAUGGAUGCUGGCAAAAGCAAUUGUACUGAGCGGGGUCAUCCCGUCCACAGCCGUGUUACCUACUCGUUGGUGCAACUACCUGAGUUUGAGUGUAUGUUGACAAAAUAUGGAGUGAUAAUCAUCAGGAGCGGAGUCAACAUGAGCGGGAGUGAGCAUGUCAAAGAAGUUCCAGCUAGUGCAUUCUUCCAUGAACCGUGCCUCUGUUGGCCUAUCCAACACAAACUGGGAACUGUGUGCCAUAUCCCAAGAGGACACAGCAGAGUCCCUUGUUUGCCCAGAAAAUACGAAACGCCCAAACACAGGGAGUGGGUACAAGACACUGGCUGGGAAUCUAUCCCCCCCCCCCCCCCCCCCCCCCCCCCCCCCCCCCCCCCCCCCCCCCCCCCCCAUGAAGGAGAGGGCAUCGAGGCCGCACUGGUUGCUCACAAAGCUGUCUAUCAUAAACGAUGCAUGCUUCGUUUUAAUACAACAGAGUUGCAAAGAGCACAGAAGAGGCCAGCAGGAGGCAGCUCAUCUGGUGAAGGCAAUGCCAUGCCAGGAAAGAGUACCAGGUCACUCAGUGCAGAAUCAAGUACCUCUAGUCAACCCUCAUGCUUCUUCUGCAGACAGUCUGGUGUGGACACCUUACAUGAAGCCACCACGGUAUGAGCAUUCGUGGGGCAGGGGAAGAAAUCUGCCUGGGCCACAUGGAACUCGUUUCCAGAACUGACAGAUUCUCUUGUGACCCUGACCACCACGCCAGUCAACACCCCCCCCCCCCCCCCC